Molecule: ribosomal RNA, 407 nt
Filed under: uncultured bacterium
Lineage: Bacteria
Description: partial 16S ribosomal RNA
Rfam family: Bacterial small subunit ribosomal RNA
Source: RNAcentral
GACGAACGCUGGCGGCGUGCCUAAUACAUGCAAGUAGGACGCAGUUGCGAACGGGUGAGUACCGCGUAGGUAACUGCCUAUCAGAGGGGGAUAACUAUUGGAAACGAUAGCUAAUACCGCAUACUAGUAGAUAGACCUGCGUUGUAUUAGCUAGUAGGUAGGGAAAUGGCCCACCUAGGCGACGAUACAUAGCCGACCCUAUGGGGUGAUCCGCACACCUGGGACUGGGGCCCGGACCAGACGACUACGGGAGGCCGCAGUAGGGAAUCUUCGGCAAUGGGGGGAACCCCGACCGGGAAACGGCGCGUGAGUGAAGAAGGUUUUCGGAUCGUAAAGCUCUGUUGUUAAGGAAGCGGUACUUAACCAGAAAGGGACGGCUAACUACGUGCCAGCCGCCGCGGUAAUAC